Molecule: non-coding RNA, 108 nt
Organism: Acanthosepion pharaonis
Lineage: Eukaryota; Metazoa; Mollusca; Cephalopoda; Sepiida; Sepiidae
Source: the annotation of a GenBank genome assembly
GGUCGUAUCACGUUGAAACACCGGUUCACGUACGAUCACCGAAGUUAAGCAACAUCGAGCCGAGACAGUACCUAGAUAGGUGCCCGCUUGAGAAUUACAGGUGCUGGA